AAUAUAGAAUAAAACUCAAAACUUUAUUUCACUAUAAUCAGAAUUAAGCAAUAUAAAAAUAGAAACUACUUAGAGAUUAAUAAAAACAAAAUUAACUACUUUAGAACUAAUAAUCCUAAAUUAACUACUUUAGAACUAAUAAUCCUGAUCAAUAAAAUAUUGAUCUAUGGAUAUUCUUAAUUAUUCUUCUCUCCCUUAGAUGGAGACGCACGUGGUGGAUGCUUGAAUUUUGGCCAUGAAUGAUAAGGAAAUUGGUGACGGAAACCUCCAGAAGACAUGGGUGGAUGAGCAAAUGCCCAUGGACGUGGAUGGAACCAUGGAUGACGCGGAUACCAAAACCACCAAUCUAGUUCCUUAUCAGCGGCUUCUGUAGUGGCAAUUUCAGCUUCUGUAGUGGCAAUUUCAGAUUUUGAAGAUGGAGACGCACGUGGUGGAUGCUUGAACCAUGGAUGAGAAGGAAACUUGUGGCGGAAACCGCCAGAAGACAUGGGUGGAUGAGCAAAUGCCCAUGGACGUGGAUGGAACCAUCGAUGACGAUACCACCAAAACCACCAAUUUGGUUCCAUAUUAGUUUCUGCAGUAUCCAUUUCAUCAUUUGAAAAUGAAUCGGGAUUCUCACUACUUGCUAAACAUAAGUUAACAAGUAGAAAAAUGCAGAUGAGAAAGGUAAUAAUGGAAUUUUUCUUAGCCAUAGCUAAUAGUAAGUUUUUCUUUUUUUGUAACUCUUGUGAUGAAAAUGAAGGGUGUGGUGGGGAUUUUAUACGGUUUCAUUUGACUUUGGAGAAUUUUCAAGUAUAUCAACUAUUUGAUUUUAUUUCAUUCAUGUUUAUCAUAAGUGGAGUUUGCAUACAAAUUAAAUUUUUAAAGUUAACUGUAAUUAUCAAGAAGUGAAGAAGUGGAGUUUGUAUACAAAUUAAAUUCUUAAAGUUAAGUGUAAUUAUCAAGAAGUGAAGAAGAUAACAGUGUGAUGAAUAUCAAUAGAGUUUGCUUUCGAAUAAUCUCUUUUCUACUCAACUCAUGCGGAGAAAUAAACUGAUAGAUUUUCAGUUCACGGGGAUAACCAUGAUCUAAUUUCAAUUUAAAAAAAAAAAAAAAAAAAAAAAAAUUUUUUACAAUAUAUUUUAUUUUAAAAAAAAUAAAAAAUUAAGAAAUAUUGUUCUGUUUAUUUUGCUAAACAUGCAUCUUUUUACAUUUCUGCAUAAAGCUUUCUUUAUUCAAGCAUUUACGAUUUGCAUGUGAUAUGAAUAAAAUAUCACAGUGUAUUCAUUUCGAUAUGAAUUUACCUAGCUACAUUUCUUCAAGCCAAUUCUUUCCUAAAGCAUUCAUGUUUAGUCCGAAAAAAAAAGUAUGAUAUAACAUAAUAUUAAAAAUGUCAUUAGAUUAGUUUAACUCAAUAAAUUGAUAAAUAUAACCUUUGUUCAGAACUCUACUGAUUGUUUUUUUUAAUCUUUGUUUGUAUUUUAAAUACGCACCUUAUUGUAUAAGGUAAAUUUUAGAUUUGAUAAGUGUUCAAACCAGAGAGUUAACAUGUGCCAAAAAUGACAAAUCGGAUGUGACUUGUGAGUCCCAAUACAAUAGACCCUUGUAAUCCGACUCCAACUUAUUGUACCAGACCGUCCUUUUGACAAUGCAUGAAAAUAAGUUAAUCAUCUUGUUUUUCAUGUUAUAGGUUUAUAAGAGCGAAAAAAAUAUUAUAUAAUCGGUCAUAUCAUCUAAAUAAUUAUAAAACUAGUGAGUCAAAUGGAUCAUGAAGAGAGAGUAAGUUUAACUGUCGAAUGUUAGCAACAACUGAAAAGUGUACUUGACUGUUCGAGUCGUGAAAGCUCGCUACAUGAAACUUUUGCCUCAUACAACUCCUCUACGGAUCGAAGUAGACCUAGCCCAGGCUUGUAUGGUUGGGUGUCUAACGUGUCCCCAAUAAUCAAGCAAAAAGGAUCUUAAGUGGACACAUAAGGGGCCUUACAAGGCUACAACAUCGAUUUCAUCAACCUACCAGGCUUUAAUGAUCGGAGCCUGGUAUAGCCCUUCGACAUAAAUUAUGUUGUUAAUAUAUAUAAUUGAAAGUAUUUUUGUACAUAGAUGACAAGAUGUUCAACCCUCUUUUAACUUCUUCUGUUUACUGUUUCAUGUUGUUUGUGCUCAAUUUCACUGCCAUAAUGGGAACAUAAUAUCAUAUGAAUAUGAAGAUUAUCAGUACUACUAUAUGCAUUGUUUGGUUACUCAAGAAAAAAAAAACUCUUUUCUGACUUUCUAGAAAAUUGAAACCUCCUCAGCAUGAUCAUGAUGACAUGACCAUAGUAAAGGCCAAAACCCACAUACAAAUUAAGACUUUUUAUAUCAAAUUUACGAUCUCUAGGUAAGUUUUGCGUAUAUGCUAUACCUUAUUCAUUAUUAUUUCCAUGAAAAACACAAACACAUAAGGCUUUUACUAUAUCAUUAUAGUAUCUUAUCACUUUUAAAAUUAAAUUAUUUUUAAAAUUAAAAAAAUAUCAUUCUUUUUUAAACAAACUAAUAAGAACAUAGUGUUACAUAACUUGCAGUCGGAAAUUUUUGGCCUAUUCAUACACCUUAAGCAUUUGUGUUUGACAUGUUUAGAAGAAACUCUUUUUCCUUCUAAGUACUCAAUAAAUAUUACUAUCGAUUCAAAUAAAUAUUAAUAUCAUUUUUAAUGGAAGAGUUACUUUACACGCGCACACACACAUCACAAAAAAUAAACAAGCAUACAGUUACGAUAUAAUAUAGAAAGUGAAAAGCUUCAUAUAAAUAAAACUCAAAUUUUAUUUCACGAUAAGAAAAAUCAAAUAAUAUUCCUAAAAACAAAAACUACUUGAAAAUUAAUAAAAAACUAAAUUAACUAGAUUAGAACUAAUAAUCCUAAAACAAAUAUUUAAUCAAUAAGAUAUUGAUCCAUUAAUAUUCUUAAUUAUUCUUCUCUCCCUUAGAUGGAGAGGGACGUGGUGGAUGCUUGAAUUUCGGCCAUGGAUGAUAAGGAAACUUGUGAUGGAAGCCACCAGAAGAGAUGGGUGGAUGUGCAAAUGUCCAUGGUCGUGGAUGGAACCAUCGAUGAUAAUACCAUGGAAACCACGAAUCUAGUUCCUUAUCAGCGGCUUCUGUAGUUGCAAUUUCCUUAUCAAUGGCUUCUGUAGUGGCAAUUUCAGACUUUGAAGAUGGAGACGCACGUGGUGGAUGCUUGAACCAGGGAUGAGAAGGAAACUUGUGGCGGAAACUGCCAGAAGACACAGGUGGAUGAGCAAAUGCCCAUGGACGUGGAUGGAACCAUCGAUGACGAUACCACCAAAACCACCAAUUUGGUUCCAUAUUAGUUUCUGUUGUAUCUAUUUCAUCGUUUGAGAAUAAAUCAGGAUUCUCACUACUUGCUAAACAUAAGUUAACAAGUAGAAAAAUGCACAUGAGAAAAGUAAUAAAGGAAUUUUUCUUAGCCAUAGCUAAUAGUAAGUUUUUGAACUCUUGAGAUGAAAAUGAAGGUUGGUGUGGUG
This 3497-nucleotide long non-coding RNA is filed under the name Capsicum annuum. RNAcentral's name for it is "long non-coding RNA (CANN_LNC005826)". Lineage: Eukaryota; Viridiplantae; Streptophyta; Magnoliopsida; Solanales; Solanaceae. The record is from RNAcentral.